Molecule: ribosomal RNA, 497 nt
Filed under: uncultured bacterium
Lineage: Bacteria
Description: partial 16S ribosomal RNA
Rfam family: Bacterial small subunit ribosomal RNA
Source: RNAcentral
GAUGAACGCUGGCGGCGUGCCUAAUACAUGCAAGUCGAGCGAACAGACGAGGAGCUUGCUCCUCUGACGUUAGCGGCGGACGGGUGAGUAACACGUGGAUAACCUACCUAUAAGACUGGGAUAACUUCGGGAAAGCGGAGCUAAUACCGGAUAAUAUAUUGAACCGCAUGGUUCAAUAGUGAAAGACGGUUUUGCUGUCACUUAUAGAUGGAUCCGCGCCGCAUUAGCUAGUUGGUAAGGUAACGGCUUACCAAGGCGACGAUGCGUAGCCGACCUGAGAGGGUGAUCGGCCACACUGGAACUGAGACACGGUCCAGACUCCUACGGGAGGCAGCAGUAGGGAAUCUUCCGCAAUGGGCGAAAGCCUGACGGAGCAACGCCGCGUGAGUGAUGAAGGUCUUCGGAUCGUAAAACUCUGUUAUUAGGGAAGAACAAAUGUGUAAGUAACUAUGCACGUCUUGACGGUACCUAAUCAGAAAGCCACGGCUAACUACGUG